GCACCAGUUUCUCUCUGAGUCGAUUCCUCUUCGUGUUAAAGAAGUAUCCUGUCCCAGCAGCGCUUACCAUCUGCACCAAGAUGGUCCUGAGGGAAAAAGAAACAGUUUUGUGGUCCAUACGCUUGACCCAUUGGUGGCGGUAAUGCUUCCUAUAGUUGUUUACCAACCACCAUGACAACGAAGAAGAAGAAAAAUAAGGAAGGAGCCAUUUUGGAUACGGUGCUUCAAUAUUUAGGAGGACACUUUUACACCCACAUCUUUGCUUUCAUUGGAGUGCUGAACCAAAACACAUUCUCUCUGGGGAUUCUGUCAGCUUGUCCUCACUUUCUGUCUUCAAUUCAUUACCAGUGAGGCUGUUCCAGAAAAUGCUGCAUGAUCACAUCACACCCUGCCCUUGUCUUGGCUGUCACUGGGGCUUUUGAAGAAACUCAUCUGCGUCUGAACAUCUUUAUUCAGCUGUCCACUAUCACUGGGAAAAGCACAAGCAAAAUCUCUCUCAGGGUGGAUGUUUUUGCUUUAAGGAUGACCCAGAUUUGACUGUUCGCGUUCUGCCUCGCUGUGAGAAGAUCUAAUCUCAUGUGUACACUAUGCUGGAAGUCUCAUCUCUCCUUUGUUUUUGUGUAAAUCCUGUGAGCAACAUUUACAUUUGAACAUGCUGUAUUAAUAGUAUCCUGUGUGGCAUUUAAAAACCAGUACAGCUGAUUUAUUUAUUGCCAUCAUUUUUUUAGUUGGCAUCCUAUCCAACGCCUGUUUAAAGUCAUCAACAAGAGCUGGUGAAGGCAAAAACAAACAGCAGAAGGGCCUGAAUUGUCUCCCCACUUGCGUAAAUGGAAGCAGUUGAGUCAUUCAUGAUGUCACACACCGAUGUGCAUCUGAUUGCUAUGGUUACACCAAUCUCUGGAUAAUGAAGUUCUCAUAUUGGAUUUCCACAACACUAGCAGUCAUCCUCUUUCAGUUGCUGUAACCACUCACCCGUUUCAACUCCAGCAAACACUUUCCCAGCAACCUCAGCAAUUAUGCUACUGCCAGAAGAGAGGGAAAGGGAGGAAGUAGCACCCCUAGGCCCCCCGCCUUUGUUCAUCUUGGCUGGCCCCGGCUCCAUCCGUCAUCUAAGCCCAGUGCUUCCAUGCAAGGCCAGUGACGAGGGCCAUAGCAGCAUGCUGCUCUUCCUGCCGCUCUCAUUAAAUCGUCUCUGUUUCCUGUACUGCAGUGGUCUGGUGAGGACGUCUAUGAGAACUCGACUGGCUGUACAGAAACUCUCUGCUGCCCUCUUUUGUUCAGUAAUGCUCAGAAUGACUUCCACAAUCUGUUAGCCUGUAAAUUACUAAAAUGGGUAUUAAAAAAAACUUAAGAACACUGAUUAGAAAGUGCUUCACACAAUGAUGUAAAUUAUAAUCAAGGAUUAGAAGUGAAAGUGAUUUUAGCAUUUGAAGUGGAUUUUAUUUCCUUCUCAAAAGUAAGUUUUGUUCCUGUGCUAGAUUUAUGCUCUUUGGCAUAAAUCUGAUAGACAUACCUCCCAAAGCUGUCAUUUUCUACUAUUUUCUGUUUCGAAAUAUCAAACAAAAGAGUCUGUAGCAAAUGUUUGGGCAUUUUGCAUUAGUGGAGUUUCUUGCACAAUUGUCAGCCUGCAUGAGUUCCCUCUUCCGCAAAAGAAAAUGUGACAGGAAAUUUCACUAGGUGCAACUAUUAAGACAAAUAUGUUAGGCUUUUGAUAUGCCAGUAAUAUAUGCUGUAAAUGAGAUGCAUCAGUUGGUGGUAAGAAACAUCAUUUCAACCAAUAUCAUGUGGGGGGAAAAAAACAAUAUUGAGGUUUAAAAGAUUACUCACAAGUCACAAAUAUUAAACUCUUGAUGACUAGUAAUAUCAACAAGCAUAUUACUUUAAAGUAAUAUGCUUGUUUAUAUUUGAGAAAGCUAAACACAAAGUAGUAGAAUAUCGGAGUACAGGGGACCCAUUUUUCAUGCAGUGAUGUGAGGCUCUAAUGGAAACCAAACCUCGGAAGUGUUGUCAAGUCAUCAUGAAUUGGUACCUGGCAAAUAAAUGGGCACGUUCAAUGAUUUCAUACAAUCAGGCUGUAUUUUCACAAUAAUUUCACCUUUGGAGUGUGUUACCCUUAAACUCCCAUCAAAUUGUUUCAGCAGGAAAGAACAUACCUGGAAUAGUACUCACUUUAGAACAAAAAUGUUUUCAAAGAUAAACAUAUUGUGGCUAAUACAAAUAAUUACACAUUUGCAUUGCAAUUUUAAAACCUGAAGAUACACCUUUAAGGAGAGUCAUGGCAUAUAAAAAGUUUGUUUAAUUUUAUCCAUGUUCUCUGUGAGAAGGGAGGACUGUCUCAUUGUUUGUCAUGUGGUGUCAUUUGAUAAAGAUAAUCACGGCUUAAGGAACAAGACUGACCUGUGGUCAAGGCAGCUAUUUUUGGUGGCAGUGUCAGCAUCAGCUGUUUAACCUAAAACUUAGAUCUGUAGUCUCUGUUUUUCUCAGCAGUCAUCACAAUUCUAAAUGACAUAAUGCUUAAAUUGGUAACUUCACCCUUCGUUUGAUACCGCUGCACAUUUUAGUCACACUUGGAUCCCUCUUUACUGCAACAAGAAGAGAAGUGUAAAAAAAGAAAACCAUGUAGGUUUUUUCCCCCAACAAGACUUAUGACAUUUCUUAGAGGUCAAACUUCU
Xiphophorus couchianus (Monterrey platyfish) is the source of this 2672-nucleotide long non-coding RNA. RefSeq lists it as uncharacterized. The transcript has 5 exons. NCBI's taxonomy places the organism in Eukaryota, Metazoa, Chordata, Actinopteri, Cyprinodontiformes, Poeciliidae. The record is from RefSeq and is a predicted model, not a curated record.